This 447-nucleotide ribosomal RNA is filed under the name Streptococcus sp. oral taxon C14. RNAcentral describes it as "bacterial SSU rRNA". It matches the Rfam family "Bacterial small subunit ribosomal RNA", at positions 30 to 471 of the family's 1533-position model. The record is from RNAcentral. Lineage: Bacteria; Bacillati; Bacillota; Bacilli; Lactobacillales; Streptococcaceae.
AUUGAACGCUGGCGGCAGGCUUAACACAUGCAAGUCGAACGGUAACAUAAAGAAGCUUGCUUCUUUGAUGACGAGUGGCGGACGGGUGAGUAAUGCUUGGGAAUCUAGCUUAUGGAGGGGGAUAACUACGGGAAACUGUAGCUAAUACCGCGUAAUAUCGAGAGAUUAAAGUGUGGGACCUUCGGGCCACAUGCCAUAGGAUGAGCCCAAGUGGGAUUAGGUAGUUGGUGAGGUAAAGGCUCACCAAGCCGACGAUCUCUAGCUGGUCUGAGAGGAUGACCAGCCACACUGGGACUGAGACACGGCCCAGACUCCUACGGGAGGCAGCAGUGGGGAAUAUUGCGCAAUGGGGGCAACCCUGACGCAGCCAUGCCGCGUGAAUGAAGAAGGCCUUCGGGUUGUAAAGUUCUUUCGGUAGCGAGGAAGGCAUUUAGUUUAAUAGACUAG